Molecule: non-coding RNA, 32 nt
Filed under: Homo sapiens (human)
Lineage: Eukaryota; Metazoa; Chordata; Mammalia; Primates; Hominidae
Source: RNAcentral
UGACCAGACCGCUGAGCGGUGGUGCUCAGAGU